AAUCAACGCUGGCGGCGUGCCUAACACAUGCAAGUCGAACGCGAAAGCCCCGCAAGGGGUAAGUAGAGUGGCAAACGGGUGAGUAACACGUGGGUGACCUGCCUUCGAGUGGGGGAUAACGUCCCGAAAGGGACGCUAAUACCGCAUGACAUCCUGCUUUUGAAAAAGCGGAGAUCAAAGCUGGGGAUCGCCAGACCUAGCGCUUGAAGAGGGGCCCGCGCCUGAUUGGCUAGUUGGGGAGGUAACGGCUCACCAAGGCGACGAGCAGUAUCCGGCCUGAGAGGGCGGACGGACACACUGGGACUGAGACACGGCCCAGACUCCUACGGGAGGCAGCAGGGGGGAAUUGUUCGCAAUGGGCGCAAGCCUGACGACGCAACGCCGCGGGGAGGACGAAGAUCUUCGGGUCGUAAACUCCGGUCGAGCGGGACGAACGCUUCGCGGAUGAAUAAUCCGCGGAAUUGACGGUACCGCUAAAGGAAGCCCCGGCUAACUCCGUG
This 500-nucleotide ribosomal RNA is filed under the name uncultured bacterium. Its description in RNAcentral is "partial 16S ribosomal RNA". It matches the Rfam family "Bacterial small subunit ribosomal RNA", at positions 29 to 507 of the family's 1533-position model. The record is from RNAcentral.